Molecule: ribosomal RNA, 253 nt
Filed under: uncultured bacterium
Lineage: Bacteria
Description: partial 16S ribosomal RNA
Rfam family: Bacterial small subunit ribosomal RNA
Source: RNAcentral
UACGUAGGGUGCAAGCGUUGUCCGGAAUUAUUGGGCGUAAAGAGCUCGUAGGCGGCUUGUCGCGUCGACUGUGAAAUCCCGCGGCUCAACCGCGGGUCUGCAGUCGAUACGGGCAGGCUAGAGUUCGGUAGGGGAGACUGGAAUUCCUGGUGUAGCGGUGAAAUGCGCAGAUAUCAGGAGGAACACCGAUGGCGAAGGCAGGUCUCUGGGCCGAUACUGACGCUGAGGAGCGAAAGCGUGGGGAGCGAACAGG